This 575-nucleotide ribosomal RNA is filed under the name uncultured bacterium. RNAcentral describes it as "partial 16S ribosomal RNA". It matches the Rfam family "Bacterial small subunit ribosomal RNA", at positions 355 to 923 of the family's 1533-position model. The record is from RNAcentral.
UGGGGAAUUUUGGACAAUGGGGGAAACCCUGAUCCAGCCAUCCCGCGUGUGCGAUGAAGGCCUUCGGGUUGUAAAGCACUUUUGGCAGGAAAGAAACGUCGCGGGUUAAUACCCCGCGAAACUGACGGUACCUGCAGAAUAAGCACCGGCUAACUACGUGCCAGCAGCCGCGGUAAUACGUAGGGUGCAAGCGUUAAUCGGAAUUACUGGGCGUAAAGCGUGCGCAGGCGGUUCGGAAAGAAAGAUGUGAAAUCCCAGAGCUUAACUUUGGAACUGCAUUUUUAACUACCGGGCUAGAGUGUGUCAGAGGGAGGUGGAAUUCCGCGUGUAGCAGUGAAAUGCGUAGAUAUGCGGAGGAACACCGAUGGCGAAGGCAGCCUCCUGGGAUAACACUGACGCUCAUGCACGAAAGCGUGGGGAGCAAACAGGAUUAGAUACCCUGGUAGUCCACGCCCUAAACGAUGUCAACUAGCUGUUGGGGCCUUCGGGCCUUGGUAGCGCAGCUAACGCGUGAAGUUGACCGCCUGGGGAGUACGGUCGCAAGAUUAAAACUCAAAUGAAUUGACGGGGUCGAU